CCCAGAUGUAAGGAGGAGAUAAUCCACAUGUCAUGAAGUAAGAUGCAUUAUAGCUUUCAUCCAGAUUAGGGCAAAUCCAUAUAUUUUUCUCAGAAAAGAAUUUCACAAGACUUUGUGAAGGAAGACAGCAUCAGGU
Molecule: long non-coding RNA, 136 nt
Organism: Psammomys obesus (fat sand rat)
Lineage: Eukaryota; Metazoa; Chordata; Mammalia; Rodentia; Muridae
Exons: 3
Source: RefSeq, a predicted model, not a curated record